RNAcentral lists this non-coding RNA (29 nucleotides) under Rattus norvegicus (Norway rat). Lineage: Eukaryota; Metazoa; Chordata; Mammalia; Rodentia; Muridae. The record is from RNAcentral.
UGCCAUGCCAUGAAUAUUUAACCAUAGAA